CACUAAAAAAAAUGAUAUUUCCCACAGAAUAUUUCCCACCGAAUUUAUUUCGUCGCUGAAUUCUGUCGGAAAUUUAUAAAAUUCCGACGAAAUUUAUCCACAGAAAAAUUUUCUAUCGGAAAGUAUAUCAUUUACUAUCUUUUCGACGGAUUUUACGGAAGGAUUUCGGUCCAUCAGAAUUUUAAUUUUACCCAAAGAAAAGGCCUAACCCUAGCCCUCUUCUCACUCACGUUUUCGACCUUGCCUCCGCUGUGCCGUCCUAUGAGCCACAGCUUUGUGCCUCCACUGUGCCGUCCUGGGAGCCCAUGCGUUUGUGCCUCCACAGUGCCUUCGUUGUCGCUCCUCCUCUCUGAGCCCACGCCGCUGCGCCCACUCCCAUCACAGUGAGGUAAUAAGAAUAGCUAAUUAAUGAGCUUCAAGUUUGAUCUCUUGUACUGCGUAGAUCUGAUCUAUGUUUUUAUGCUAUAAUUAUGAGUGUAG
This 480-nucleotide long non-coding RNA is filed under the name Glycine max (soybean). Its description in RNAcentral is "long non-coding RNA (GMAX_LNC000136)". The record is from RNAcentral. Lineage: Eukaryota; Viridiplantae; Streptophyta; Magnoliopsida; Fabales; Fabaceae.